GAUGAACGCUAGCUACAGGCUUAACACAUGCAAGUCGCGGGGCAGCAUGGGGGUUGCUUGCAAUCCCCGAUGGCGACCGGCGCACGGGUGAGUAACGCGUAUCCAACCUGCCCUUCACCACGGGCUAACCCGGCGAAAGUCGGACUAAUACCGUAUGUUGUCCAUUGACGGCCUCCGAUUUGGACGAAAGGUUUGGCGGUGAAGGAUGGGGAUGCGUCCGAUUAGCUGGACGGCGGGGUGACGGCCCACCGUGGCGACGAUCGGUAGGGGUUCUGAGAGGAAGGUCCCCCACACUGGAACGGAGACACGGUCCAGACGCCUACGGGAGGCAGCAGUGAGGAAUAGUGGUCAAUGGGCGUAAGCCUGAACCAGCCAAGUAGCGUGCAGGAUGACGGCCCUAUGGGUUGUAAACUGCUUUUAUGCGGGGAUAAAGUGGCCCACGUGUGGGUUUUUGCAGGUACCGCAUGAAUAAGGACCGGCUAAGUCCGUG
This 490-nucleotide ribosomal RNA is filed under the name uncultured bacterium. RNAcentral describes it as "partial 16S ribosomal RNA". It matches the Rfam family "Bacterial small subunit ribosomal RNA", at positions 28 to 507 of the family's 1533-position model. The record is from RNAcentral.